Molecule: ribosomal RNA, 824 nt
Filed under: Bacillus sp. N3-7P
Lineage: Bacteria; Bacillati; Bacillota; Bacilli; Caryophanales; Bacillaceae
Description: bacterial SSU rRNA
Rfam family: Bacterial small subunit ribosomal RNA
Source: RNAcentral
GCAAGUCGAGCGGACAGAUGGGAGCUUGCUCCCUGAUGUUAGCGGCGGACGGGUGAGUAACACGUGGGUAACCUGCCUGUAAGACUGGGAUAACUCCGGGAAACCGGGGCUAAUACCGGAUGGUUGUUUGAACCGCAUGGUUCAAACAUAAAAGGUGGCUUCGGCUACCACUUACAGAUGGACCCGCGGCGCAUUAGCUAGUUGGUGAGGUAACGGCUCACCAAGGCAACGAUGCGUAGCCGACCUGAGAGGGUGAUCGGCCACACUGGGACUGAGACACGGCCCAGACUCCUACGGGAGGCAGCAGUAGGGAAUCUUCCGCAAUGGACGAAAGUCUGACGGAGCAACGCCGCGUGAGUGAUGAAGGUUUUCGGAUCGUAAAGCUCUGUUGUUAGGGAAGAACAAGUACCGUUCGAAUAGGGCGGUACCUUGACGGUACCUAACCAGAAAGCCACGGCUAACUACGUGCCAGCAGCCGCGGUAAUACGUAGGUGGCAAGCGUUGUCCGGAAUUAUUGGGCGUAAAGGGCUCGCAGGCGGUUUCUUAAGUCUGAUGUGAAAGCCCCCGGCUCAACCGGGGAGGGUCAUUGGAAACUGGGGAACUUGAGUGCAGAAGAGGAGAGUGGAAUUCCACGUGUAGCGGUGAAAUGCGUAGAGAUGUGGAGGAACACCAGUGGCGAAGGCGACUCUCUGGUCUGUAACUGACGCUGAGGAGCGAAAGCGUGGGGAGCGAACAGGAUUAGAUACCCUGGUAGUCCACGCCGUAAACGAUGAGUGCUAAGUGUUAGGGGUUUCCGCCCCUUAGUGCUGCAGCUAACGCAUAAG